GACGAACGCUGGCGGCGUGCUUAACACAUGCAAGUCGAACGGAUCAUCUUACACUUGUGUUUGGUGGUUAGUGGCGAACGGGUGAGUAACACGUGAGCAACCUGCCCUUCACUGGGGGAUAACGGGAAGAAAUUCUUGCUAAUACCGCAUGUACACCGACUGUCGCAUGGUGGUUGGUGGAAAGUUUUUUCGGUGGGGAUGGGCUCGCGGCCUAUCAGCUUGUUGGUGGGGUAAUGGCCUACCAAGGCUUUGACGGGUAGCCGGCCUGAGAGGGCGACCGGCCACACUGGGACUGAGAUACGGCCCAG
This 308-nucleotide ribosomal RNA is filed under the name uncultured bacterium. RNAcentral's name for it is "bacterial SSU rRNA". It matches the Rfam family "Bacterial small subunit ribosomal RNA", at positions 28 to 334 of the family's 1533-position model. The record is from RNAcentral.